This 492-nucleotide ribosomal RNA is filed under the name uncultured bacterium. Its description in RNAcentral is "partial 16S ribosomal RNA". It matches the Rfam family "Bacterial small subunit ribosomal RNA", at positions 29 to 507 of the family's 1533-position model. The record is from RNAcentral.
AGUGAACGCUGGCGGUAGGCCUAACACAUGCAAGUCGAACGGCAGCACAGUAAGAGCUUGCUCUUACGGGUGGCGAGUGGCGGACGGGUGAGGAAUACAUCGGAAUCUACUUUUUCGUGGGGGAUAACGUAGGGAAACUUACGCUAAUACCGCAUACGACCUACGGGUGAAAGCAGGGGAUCUUCGGACCUUGCGCGAUUGAAUGAGCCGAUGUCGGAUUAGCUAGUAGGCGGGGUAAAGGCCCACCAAGGCGACGAUCCGUAGCUGGUCUGAGAGGAUGAUCAGCCACACUGGAACUGAGGCACGGUCCAGACUCCUACGGGAGGCAGCAGUGGGGAAUAUUGGACAAUGGGCGCAAGCCUGAUCCAGCCAUACCGCGUGGGUGAAGAAGGCCUUCGGGUUGUAAAGCCCUUUUGUUGGGAAAGAAAAGAAGCAGGUUAAUACCCCGCUGUUCUGACGGUACCCAAAGAAUAAGCACCGGCUAACUUCGUG